Molecule: ribosomal RNA, 946 nt
Filed under: Halospirulina sp. B1099
Lineage: Bacteria; Bacillati; Cyanobacteriota; Cyanophyceae; Spirulinales; Spirulinaceae
Description: bacterial SSU rRNA
Rfam family: Bacterial small subunit ribosomal RNA
Source: RNAcentral
GGGGAAUYUUCCGCAAUGGGCGAAAGCCUGACGGAGCAAUACCGCGUGAGGGAAGAAGGUCCUUGGAUCGUAAACCUCUUUUCUCAGGGAAGAAGUUCUGACGGUACCUGAGGAAUAAGCCUCGGCUAACUCCGUGCCAGCAGCCGCGGUAAUACGGAGGAGGCAAGCGUUAUCCGGAAUUAUUGGGCGUAAAGCGUUCGCAGGUGGCUGUUCAAGUCUGCUGUCAAAGACCGGAGCUUAACUCCGGAAAGGCGGUGGAAACUGAAGAGCUAGAGUGCGGUAGGGGUAGAGGGAAUUCCCAGUGUAGCGGUGAAAUGCGUAGAGAUUGGGAAGAACACCGGUGGCGAAAGCGCUCUACUAGGCCGCAACUGACACUCAGGGACGAAAGCUAGGGGAGCGAAUGGGAUUAGAUACCCCAGUAGUCCUAGCUGUAAACGAUGGGUACUAGGCGUAGCUUGUAUCGACCCGAGCUGUGCCGAAGCUAACGCGUUAAGUACCCCGCCUGGGGAGUACGCACGCAAGUGUGAAACUCAAAGGAAUUGACGGGGGCCCGCACAAGCGGUGGAGUAUGUGGUUUAAUUCGAUGCAACGCGAAGAACCUUACCAGGGCUUGACAUCCGGCGAAUUCUCUGGAAACAGAGAAGUGCCUACGGGAGCGCCGUGACAGGUGGUGCAUGGCUGUCGUCAGCUCGUGUCGUGAGAUGUUGGGUUAAGUCCCGCAACGAGCGCAACCCUCGUCCUUAGUUGCCAGCAUUAAGUUGGGCACUUUAGGGAGACUGCCGGUGACAAACCGGAGGAAGGUGGGGAUGACGUCAAGUCAGCAUGCCCCUUACGUCCUGGGCAACACACGUACUACAAUGGUCGAGACAAAGGGCAGCCAACUCGCAAGAGUGAGCGAAUCUCAUCAAACUCGGCCUCAGUUCAGAUCGCAGGCUGCAACUCGCCU